RNAcentral lists this ribosomal RNA (551 nucleotides) under uncultured Glomeromycotina. RNAcentral's name for it is "SSU rRNA". It matches the Rfam family "Eukaryotic small subunit ribosomal RNA", at positions 548 to 1098 of the family's 1831-position model. Lineage: Eukaryota; Fungi; Glomeromycota. The record is from RNAcentral.
UUGGAGGGCAAGUCUGGUGCCAGCAGCCGCGGUAAUUCCAGCUCCAAUAGCGUAUAUUAAAGUUGUUGCAGUUAAAAAGCUCGUAGUUGAAUUUCGGAGUUUGUCGGUUGGUCGGGCUUCACUGACCGCAUUGGCCUGAUGGAUUUCUACCUUCUGAAUAACCAGCAUGCUAUUAAGUUAGUGCGUUGGGGAAGCAGAGCUAUUACCUUGAAAAAAUUAGAGUGCUUAAAGCAGGCUUAUGCUUGAAUAGAUUAGCAUGGAAUAAUAAAAUAGGACGGCAUGGUUCUAUUUUGUUGGUUUCUAGGAUCACCGUAAUGAUUAAUAGGGAUAGUUGGGGGCAUUAGUAUUCAAUUGUCAGAGGUGAAAUUCUUGGAUUUAUUGAAGACUAACUUCUGCGAAAGCAUUUGCCAAGGAUGUUUUCAUUAGUCAAGAACCAAACUUAGGGGAUCGAAGACGAUCAGAUACCGUUGUAGUCUUAACCAUAAACUAUGCCGACUAGGGAUCGGACGAUGUUAAUUUUUUAAUGACUCGUUCGGCGCCUUACGGGAAAC